This is a non-coding RNA of Pelodiscus sinensis (Chinese soft-shelled turtle), 299 nucleotides long. The record is from RefSeq and is a predicted model, not a curated record. NCBI's taxonomy places the organism in Eukaryota, Metazoa, Chordata, Testudines, Trionychidae.
CACUCACCAGGAAUGUAGAAGACACAACUUUAAUUUGAGCAAGCUCAAUGCAUCGUGACUCCCCAUUUCUGAUGUGAGAGCUGGUGUUCAGCGGAUGGAGGCAAGUGUGGGUGUACGAGGAGGAAUGGCUCUUUAAAUGAGGAACAUUUGAGAGGUUCCUUGAUAGGGUGCAGAAGCAUAAUGCUUGAAAAAGGAUGACAUACAUUUAUACAAAAUACAGCCAGAGGACAAAGAUGAGCCAAUUACUACUUAUUACUCCCAUCAGUAAUCCCAUUAGAAUCAGUCUGACUACUUCCGUG